CUGCGAAACACCGUAAUGGUGUCUGCAUGAUGUGGUGAUCAUGUACUGAUGAGCAGCCAACU
This 62-nucleotide non-coding RNA is filed under the name Shewanella yunxiaonensis. The record is from RNAcentral. Lineage: Bacteria; Pseudomonadati; Pseudomonadota; Gammaproteobacteria; Alteromonadales; Shewanellaceae.